GGCCAGACUCCUACGGGAGGCGGCAGUGAGGAAUAUUGGUCAAUGGGCGGAAGCCUGAACCAGCCAAGUCGCGUGAGGGAAUAAGGCCCUACGGGUCGUAAACCUCUUUUGCCGUGGAGCAAGGGCGGGGACGUGUCCCGGCCCGGAGAGUACCCGGAGAAAAAGCAUCGGCUAACUCCGUGCCAGCAGCCGCGGUAAUACGUAGGUGGCAAGCGUUGUCCGGAAUUACUGGGUGUAAAGGGAGCGCAGGCGGGAAGCCAAGUCAGCUGUGAAGACUACGGGCUUAACUUGUAGACUGUAGUUGAAACUGGUUUUCUUGAGUGAAGUAGAGGUUGGCGGAAUUCCGAGUGUAGCGGUGAAAUGCGUAGAUAUUCGGAGGAACACCGGUGGCGAAGGCGGCCAACUGGGCUUUAACUGACGCUGAGGCUCGAAAGUGUGGGGAGCAAACAGGAUUAGAUACCCUUGUAA
Molecule: ribosomal RNA, 468 nt
Filed under: uncultured bacterium
Lineage: Bacteria
Description: bacterial SSU rRNA
Rfam family: Bacterial small subunit ribosomal RNA
Source: RNAcentral